Molecule: non-coding RNA, 22 nt
Filed under: Rattus norvegicus (Norway rat)
Lineage: Eukaryota; Metazoa; Chordata; Mammalia; Rodentia; Muridae
Source: RNAcentral
GAUAGAAAUUAUUGUGGGAAGC